CUUGGAAGUUGCCAUUAUAUUAUCAAGUAUAAGAUCAUUUCAUGGCACCAAAAACAUUACACCAAGUUAGAAAGGGCAAUUCCAAGUGUCAAUAAAAGCCAUUACAUCAAAUUCUGUCACAACUCCAUCACCUUACAAGUCCAUACUCUUACAAAAGAAAUCCCAAAUGAAAACUACAUAGAAACAUUCAUAAACCUAACGAUUAUUCUUCCAUCUUUAUUUUCUCCAUCAUUCUUCAUGUUUUUUAAGCCUUGUCCUUAUCAAACUCUUUGCUUCAUUUGCUUUAAGUUACUUUCAUGGAUCGAUGCCUCCUCAUGCUUCCGACGACCAUGCC
Molecule: non-coding RNA, 334 nt
Organism: Vicia faba (fava bean)
Lineage: Eukaryota; Viridiplantae; Streptophyta; Magnoliopsida; Fabales; Fabaceae
Source: the annotation of a GenBank genome assembly